RNAcentral lists this ribosomal RNA (540 nucleotides) under uncultured Geobacteraceae bacterium. Its description in RNAcentral is "bacterial SSU rRNA". It matches the Rfam family "Bacterial small subunit ribosomal RNA", at positions 76 to 596 of the family's 1533-position model. Lineage: Bacteria; Pseudomonadati; Thermodesulfobacteriota; Desulfuromonadia; Geobacterales; Geobacteraceae. The record is from RNAcentral.
GGGCUUGCUCCUUCAUUAGUGGCGCACGGGUGAGUAACGCGUAGAUAAUCUGCCUGAUGAUCCGGGAUAACAGUUCGAAGGACUGCUAAUACCGGAUAAGCCCACGUGGUCUUUGGACCGUGCGGGAAAAGGGGGGGACCUUCGGGCCUUCUGUCAUCAGAUGAGUCUGCGUACCAUUAGCUAGUUGGUAGGGUAAAGGCCUACCAAGGCUACGAUGGUUAGCUGGUUUGAGAGAAUGAUCAGCCACACUGGAACUGAGACACGGUCCAGACUCCUACGGGAGGCAGCAGUGGGGAAUUUUGCGCAAUGGGCGAAAGCCUGACGCAGCAACGCCGCGUGAGUGAUGAAGGCUUUCGGGUCGUAAAGCUCUGUCGAGGGGAAAGAAGUGUACGGGGGCUAAUAUCCCCUGUACUUGACGGUACCCCUAAAGGAAGCACCGGCUAACUCCGUGCCAGCAGCCGCGGUAAUACGGGGGGUGCAAGCGUUGUUCGGAAUUAUUGGGCGUAAAGAGCGUGUAGGCGGUUUGUUAAGUCUGAUGUG